This 462-nucleotide long non-coding RNA is filed under the name Hordeum vulgare. RNAcentral describes it as "long non-coding RNA (HVUL_LNC007275)". Lineage: Eukaryota; Viridiplantae; Streptophyta; Magnoliopsida; Poales; Poaceae. The record is from RNAcentral.
UAGCAUUGCCAGGCAUUCUGUCGAACGCUUGGUGGGCAUGCCCAAAGCGCCUAGAGAUUGCGUAUUGCUGCGAGCAUACCCGAGCCGCCGGAUCACCCUACCAGUGCACCCCUUGCACCCCUGGAUAGCCACAGGGCCGAGUCAAAACCCCGACAGGUCUUCUCUCACCGUGCUGCAGCCCUGCUAUGCUGAAGCACCGCCGCCGUCGGCAAGGCCGCUGCGACCGGCCCCCGCUUCGGCCCUGCCAUAGCCAGCACCACCCAAGCAGCCUCAGCGUGCCAGCUGCCCCCUUGGACCACCUCCUGCGUCAUCCCCUUGCUGCCCGCUCUGCCAGCGUGCAGCUGCCGCACAUGAGCACCGUCAGAAGCUAUCGCGGGCGUCCCUAUACUCAGCCACCACGGAACCGCCUUUGGCCGGCUAUAAAUAGCCUCACAGGGAGAUGCAGUGUGCUCCAUCGCCCCC